GUAUUUUCAAGCCCAACAGAAAGCUCAUGAGCGGAGAAGAAAAGACAGAUUUGGAGAUCUAUUCUGUUAUGAACUUGCAGAAAUUGAACACGUGGGACAAAGUUAAUCCCCUCUAGAAAUGGAUGUUGCCCUUUCUGUGGCCCAUUCUCUCAACUAUUUUUUCCUGGUGCUACCACUGUCUGGCUAUAAGUGAAAAGCCAUCAAAGUCACUUCUGACACCUGCAACAUGAAAUAAUAGUGCAAAUAAAAGAAGAUGUAGUCUUACACCUAAUGACCUCAUAUUGAUGUAAG
Hemicordylus capensis (graceful crag lizard) is the source of this 291-nucleotide long non-coding RNA. RefSeq lists it as uncharacterized. The record is from RefSeq and is a predicted model, not a curated record. The transcript has 3 exons. NCBI's taxonomy places the organism in Eukaryota, Metazoa, Chordata, Lepidosauria, Squamata, Cordylidae.